RNAcentral lists this long non-coding RNA (623 nucleotides) under Equus caballus (horse). RNAcentral's name for it is "lncRNA (ENSECAG00000047822.1)". Lineage: Eukaryota; Metazoa; Chordata; Mammalia; Perissodactyla; Equidae. The record is from RNAcentral.
ACUGGGGCAGAUGGGAAACUCAAGAUUAAUGCAGUGAUAGACGGUGGGUGGGAAAGAAAAGUAAAGAGAUGCGAGCAGGUUCCAGAGGCCAGGGGCUGCUCACUGGAAGCAUCUGGGGGAGACUGAAAGAAAUACUGAUGGCACAGACACUACUCCAGAAAGACAUGUCUCUGUUUUCCUUCUGUAAAAUAGGCUUCAACAAAAAUGAUGAGAAGAAAUUGUUGAGGGAGCCCAAAGAAACACAUGUGGAGGGUAUUUUCAGGCAGAUACAUUUGGUUGAGAAAGAGGAAAUAUAUGGUACCUAACAGCAUGGGUUCUGAAGCCAGAUUGCCAGUCUGGAGACUGUACUGCUGGCUACUCUCCUGCACACCGUGUGCACUUACUUCCCAGCCCCUCCAGCAGAGCCAUCUUGGCACUGUAAAGGGAGCUGGAAGAAAGAUGGAAACAAUGAUGACACUGUCAAGUUGAAGAAUUAACCAACCCUGAAGCGCCUACCUCUGGACUUGUUAUACAAAACAGUGAAUUUUUCUUAUUGCUUAAGCUAUUUUGAGUAGGAUUUUCUGUUAUUGUACUUGAAAACACCCCACUGAUUGAUAUUUCUGGAGCAUGUAUGUUCAGGAUAU